RNAcentral lists this ribosomal RNA (1403 nucleotides) under Pyrobaculum sp. AQ1.S2. RNAcentral describes it as "16S ribosomal RNA". It matches the Rfam family "Archaeal small subunit ribosomal RNA". Lineage: Archaea; Thermoproteati; Thermoproteota; Thermoprotei; Thermoproteales; Thermoproteaceae. The record is from RNAcentral.
CGACCGCUAUCGGGGUAGGGCUAAGCCAUGCGAGUCGCGCGCCCGGGGGCGCCCGGGAGCGGCGCACGGCUCAGUAACACGUGCCUAACCUAACCUCGGGAGGGGACACCACCGGGAAACUGGGGUCAAUCCCCCAUAGNGGAAGGGCGCUGGAAGGCCCUUCCCCGAAAGGGCUGGCGACCGAUCCNCCGCCAGCCGNCCGAGGGUGGGGGCACGGCCCAUCAGGUAGUUGGCGGGUUAAAGGCCCGCCAAGCCGAANACGGGUAGGGGCGGUGAGAGCCGUGAGCCCCGAGAUGGGCACUGAGACAAGGGCCCAGGCCCUACGGGGUGCAGCAGGCGCGAAUACUCCGCAAUGCGGGCAACCGCGACGGGGUCUACCCGAGUGCGGGCGAAGAGCCCGGCUUUUGCCCGGUCUAAAAAGCCGGGAGAAUAAGCGGGGGGCAAGUCUGGUGUCAGCCGCCGCGGUAAUACCAGCUCCGCGAGUGGUCGGGGUGUUUACUGGGCUUAAAGCGCCCGUAGCCGGCCCGGCAAGUCGCUCCUGAAAUCCCCGGGCUCAACCCGGGGGCCGGGGGCGAUACUGCCGGGCUAGGGGGCGGGAGAGGCCGCCGGUACUCCGGGGGUAGGGGCGAAAUCCGUUAAUCCCCGGAGGACCACCAGUGGCGAAAGCGGGCGGCCAGAACGCGCCCGACGGUGAGGGGCGAAAGCCGGGGGAGCAAAGGGGAUUAGAUACCCCUGUAGUCCCGGCCGUAAACGAUGCGGGCUAGCUGUCGGUCGGGCUUAGGGCCCGGCCGGUGGCGAAGGGAAACCGUUAAGCCCGCCGCCUGGGGAGUACGGCCGCAAGGCUGAAACUUAAAGGAAUUGGCGGGGGGGCACCACAAGGGGUGAAGCUUGCGGCUUAAUUGGAGUCAACGCCGGAAACCUCACCCGGGGCGACAGCAGGAUGAAGGCCAGGCUAACGACCUUGCCGGACGAGCUGAGAGGAGGUGCAUGGCCGUCGUCAGCUCGUGCCGUGAGGUGUCCGGUUAAGUCCGGCAACGAGCGAGACCCCCGCCCCUAGUUGCUACCCCUCCCUACGGGGAGGGGGGCACACUAGGGGGACUGCCGGCGUAAGCCGGAGGAAGGAGGGGGCCACGGCAGGUCAGUAUGCCCCGAAACCCCGGGGCUGCACGCGAGCUGCAAUGGCGGGGACAGCGGGAUCCGACCCCGAAAGGGGGAGGCAAUCCCGUAAACCCCGCCCCAGUAGGGAUCGAGGGCUGCAACUCGCCCUCGUGAACGUGGAAUCCCUAGUAACCGCGUGUCACCAACGCGCGGUGAAUACGUCCCUGCCCCUUGCACACACCGCCCGUCGCACCACCCGAGGGAGCCCUCUGCGAGGCCCCUCGCCGCAAGGUGGGGGGACGAGC